This is a small nucleolar RNA of Brassica oleracea var. oleracea, 87 nucleotides long. It matches the Rfam family "Small nucleolar RNA SNORD25". From Rfam's summary of the family: U25 is a member of the C/D class of snoRNA which contain the C (UGAUGA) and D (CUGA) box motifs. U25 is found in gene clusters in plants, and within the U22 snoRNA host gene (UHG) in mammals. U25 is thought to as a 2'-O-ribose methylation guide for ribosomal RNA. NCBI's taxonomy places the organism in Eukaryota, Viridiplantae, Streptophyta, Magnoliopsida, Brassicales, Brassicaceae. The record is from Rfam.
AAGAGCAGUGAUGAGUCAGUUUACAGACCUGUAAUGAUUGCGGUUAUGAUCGCAUUUAAUUAUGAACAUCUAAGGGACUGAGUUUUU